GGAAAUCAGUUCCUUUUCUUCUCCUUCAUUUCCUUAUAGCCUGUUUGACCUUUCCUUAAAUUAGUAAUGGAAAUGUCUUUCUCGCUGCAAUGGAUAGCUGUUGACUGAGCAAAACGUGCUAAUUGUUUUCCAGUGUUUUCUUCCAGUCUGCUGCAGAGAACCACAGGGCCAGCGGGUGGGAGUGCCCAGGAGGGAAGUCUGGUUUUGGUGUCCAUAAAGAGAAGUUCUGAAUCAUUAGGGUGAUGAAGCCAGCUGCCACGUGAAGCCCCAAACACUCCUUCUCCGCUGGGAAAGCCGAGGCCACAGAUCCCCUAAGGGCCAUUGUCCACUAGUGGCAGGUGAGUGGAAAGUGGGUGCAUGGCCUCUGCUCCGGGUCCUUCCGAGCAGUCAUCUGAGACGGGACUGGAUACAGAGUGCCCCAGGUUCCAGCAGAGACGGGGAAAGAUGAGGUUCUCACUUUCCAGGAAUUGAAAGAGGGUUGGAUCAUAUCAGCUUUUCCCGAAAAUAGACGGAUAAAAAUUAAACAGUUUGCCUUUUCAGGUCUGGUUGUUAGGAGAUGACUUUGGCAGCUAUGAAACCCAGAGUGCUAGCCUGCUGCAAUUGGGAAUGAAGGGGAAGGAACUUUUCAUAGAUGGUCAGAAUGUCCAUGCCAAGGGGUUUUCCUUCUGAGUCAGUAAGCUCAGAGGGUUCCUGCUUUAAUCUUUCUGUUCUCUGUCAUGCGCCUUUAAGGAAUGUCUUGCUACAUUGCUCUCUGAUGAUACUUUGCCUAUACUUUCAUAUCAUUGCUAAUCUCAUUGUACCAUCAUUCCUCCAGAGCUGGGGGCUCAGUUUCAGGAGACCCCUGCCUAGGGGAUGCGAUGACCAUCUGCAGACGCUCAAGUCCCUCAUAUAAAGUGGCAUGGAAUUUACAUAGAACCUACACACAUCUUCCUGAAUGUAUCAAUCACCUCUGGAUGACUUGUAAGACCUAAUAAAAUGUAAACUUAUGUAAAUAAUUGCUAGGCUAUAUUGUUUAAGGAAUGAUGACAAGAAGUCUGUACAUGUGCAGCAAACAUGCAAUUUUUCCCCACAAAUAUUUUUUAUCCAAGGUUGGUUGAAUUUGCUUAUGCAGAACCCAGGGAUAUGGAGGGCCGACUGUAUUCUAAUUUGUUUAUUUUUCUGUAUUCUCCAUCUCUGGUCUUUAGCGCAAUGUCUGACACUGUAGGCUCUCAACCGGUGUUUGUCAUAAAAAUGGUUCAAAUACAUCAAUUCUGGAUGAAGAAAAAGAAUUCUGUAAGAUAAAUCGUGUAUCGUGCUACCAUCUUCCAAC
This 1309-nucleotide long non-coding RNA is filed under the name Marmota monax (woodchuck). Lineage: Eukaryota; Metazoa; Chordata; Mammalia; Rodentia; Sciuridae. The record is from RNAcentral.